Molecule: non-coding RNA, 2198 nt
Organism: Pocillopora verrucosa
Lineage: Eukaryota; Metazoa; Cnidaria; Anthozoa; Scleractinia; Pocilloporidae
Source: RefSeq, a predicted model, not a curated record
GUCAAAAGCACUGCUGCAGUAGGAUACCAAUUGAUUAAACCACCGAACGGGGCUGCACAGAGUCAUUACAGCCUUCCAGUUAAAAAGACUCCAAAAGUGACAUCCAUCGAAAAUCCCAACUACGAGAAGACGUUACCAGUAACGAACCAUGAGUAUGCUAAACCAGAAAUUAAGACGGAUACCAACUGUUAGCCAACAUGUGGAAACAGUGAAAACAAUACCCCAACAACUUAAGUUAAAAUUAGAACUCCUGGCUAGUUUGUGGUAUAACAGUGUAAACUAUAGUAUGGUAAACUUAUAGAUACUGAAAGCGGUGCGGUACUCCGUUUAGCGGUUUUCUUAGAAUUCUGGGGUAUUCAAGUCGUUUUGGCGCUUUAAAUAAUUGCUGUUUAAUGCAUGAAUACUAUGAAAAAAACAACAACAACAAACAACACUCAAAUGCGUGGUUAGAAGGGAGAAAGCCGAUAAGGAAAAUAUAAUUCAAAACGGAAGGGAUUGGUUGAUCCUAGGGUUGGAGCCAAGUUCCAGAUCGCGUUUCUCCUCCCAUUGGAGACGCACGUAUAAAGUAACACACUGAUUAGUAGCUGUAUAUAUUUGUCAGGUUCACCACCUAGGAGACGCUUGCUGAAAAGUAAUUUCACUUAAUUUCACAGCUGUCAUCGAGAAAGAUCCUUGCAGGUUAAUUUACGCCGGCGAAGUUUAUCUUUUACAUGUUUUCCAUGACGUGACCUUGUUAUAGUUAUGGUGACAUGCCUUUGUUUGAGACAAAAGGACUUCUCGAUAGAUAGUUUGUUAAAUUAUAGCUCUUUCCUUGUCGUCUCCGAGAAGAAUUUGACGAAAGCGCGUUGACCCUCUCGAUUCCUUCCCAGUCUAGCCCUCAAUUUUUGCUAUGACGUCAUGAUCCUCGGCUUUAUGUAGCGUUUGAACAGCAAAAAAGGAUAGACUGGGAACGAGUCUAAUAAGGCAAUUGAGGCCUUUAUUUCUUUGCUCAACAAGUUACAGUAGAAAAAGGGGAAAAUACCUGUAUUCGUUACUGGAAAAGUCACAAAUUUCUCUGUCUUUUGGUGGAAAGUGGGAGUAUUUGGGAAAGUUAACUAUUACAAAAACUAGUUGGUGUCGGAUAAUGAUUUCUUUCGUUGACAUUUCAUCUUCUCUACAGGCCUUGUUUACGCUUAUUUUCCGAACGUUCGGUUUUGUUUCCUUCUUUAAAAGGAUUUGCGUGUGAAAGAAACCUUUUGUGUCUCGGCAUUGAAAGCCCGUGUGAGUCUGGCUGUAGAAAAACUUGAAGUAGUCUUAGCAUUUGAAUGCAGUUUGCUCGCAGUUGUGUGUGUCGCGAGUUCAAAGAAAAUACUUUGAUUUUCAUUUACGCCACAGGUUUUCGAUCAUGAUGUAAUUCAAAGUAUUGAUACAGAGUGAUUGUAAGAGCAAUACUUUGGCAGUAAGGUUUGUAAAAUGGCAAUCGAUCUAACAAGUCUCCUACACUUUCAAAUCUUUGGAAAGUGCCCGAAUUUGUUUGCCUGUUUGGAGAGAUAGAAUUAUCAAUCCCAAAUAUUGACGACUUUCGCUCGGGUUCGUAAGCCGUCUACUCGGUCAAUCAUCGAGCGCAAUAUUCCGAGAGUGAAAAAGACCUUUUCACAGUUUUGAAUGUAAAAUUGGGUUAAGCUAAGAAAGGAUAUAAUAUAUGAAGAUUGCAAAGGCGUUAGCUUUGUACAGACGUGUGAAAGAAAAUAUUGAUAAUGAAAAGGACUAGUCCACAAGAUUGAAUAGGAAUUAGUUACGUAAGGUAUACAUAGAAGGCUAAAAAGCUUUGGGCUUUUUACUGUUACGUAGAAAUAGUAUUAGUAACUUGUCUAUAGAGAGCUGAAUGAGUUGUACAACAGCCAUUAACAGUGGCGGAUCUAGACCUUAAGUUAAGUGGGGGGAGGGGUUUUGUCGCUUGCCCUGCCGGCUUUUCUUCCUUCUGCGAUUCUUUCUCUUUUACCCAAAAUAAGAGGGGGGCCCGAGCCUCCUGGGUCCCUCCCCUAGAUCCGCCACUGAUUAAACAGUAUUUUCGUAGGGUUCACGACUCGAAGAGUCAGCAGAAAUGUUGAAAUUGUUCACUUAUUUAAAAUUCACGGUUGUAUGUUUUAAGUCAAGAUUUUGCAUUAUAUUUAAAGAGGUUAUAUAGUAAUAAAGGCCAGACAAUAUUUUGUUGCAGA